This 497-nucleotide ribosomal RNA is filed under the name uncultured bacterium. RNAcentral's name for it is "partial 16S ribosomal RNA". It matches the Rfam family "Bacterial small subunit ribosomal RNA", at positions 28 to 507 of the family's 1533-position model. The record is from RNAcentral.
GAUGAACGCUGGCGGCGUGCCUAAUACAUGCAAGUCGAGCGAACAGAUGAGGAGCUUGCUCCUCUGACGUUAGCGACGGACGGGUGAGUAACACGUGGAUAACCUACCUAUAAGACUGGGAUAACUUCGGGAAACCGGAGCUAAUACCGGAUAAUAUAUUGAACCGCAUGGUUCAAUAGUGAAAGACGGUUUUGCUGUCACUUAUAGAUGGAUCCGCGCCGCAUUAGCUAGUUGGUAAGGUAACGGCUUACCAAGGCAACGAUGCGUAGCCGACCUGAGAGGGUGAUCGGCCACACUGGAACUGAGACACGGUCCAGACUCCUACGGGAGGCAGCAGUAGGGAAUCUUCCGCAAUGGGCGAAAGCCUGACGGAGCAACGCCGCGUGAGUGAUGAAGGUCUUCGGAUCGUAAAACUCUGUUAUUAGGGAAGAACAAAUGUGUAAGCAACUAUGCACGUCUUGACGGUACCUAAUCAGAAAGCCACGGCUAACUACGUG